This is a non-coding RNA of Schistosoma haematobium, 45 nucleotides long. The record is from Rfam. NCBI's taxonomy places the organism in Eukaryota, Metazoa, Platyhelminthes, Trematoda, Strigeidida, Schistosomatidae.
AUCCAGUUGAGGAGUCCCGAAUAAGACGAAGCGUGCGUCCUGGAU